GACGAACGCUGGCGGCGUGCUUAACACAUGCAAGUCGAACGGAAAGGCCCUGCUUUUGUGGGGUGCUCGAGUGGCGAACGGGUGAGUAACACGUGAGUAACCUGCCCUUGACUUUGGGAUAACUUCAGGAAACUGGGGCGAAUACCGGAUAGGAGCUCCUGCUGCAUGGUGGGGGUUGGAAAGUUUCGGCGGUUGGGGAUGGACUCGCGGGUUAUCAGCUUGUUGGUGGGGUAGUGGCUUACCAAGGCUUUGACGGGUAGCCGGCCUGGGAGGGUGACCGGCCACAUUGGGACUAAGAUACGGCCCAGACUCCUACGGGAGGCAGCAGUGGGGAAUAUUGCACAGUGGGCGGAAGCCUGAUGCAGCAGCGCCGCGUGCGGAAUGACGGCCUUCGGGUUGUAAACCGCUUUCGCCUGUGACGAAGCGUGAGUGACGGUAAUGGGUAAGGAAGCACCGGCUAACUACGUG
Molecule: ribosomal RNA, 468 nt
Filed under: uncultured bacterium
Lineage: Bacteria
Description: partial 16S ribosomal RNA
Rfam family: Bacterial small subunit ribosomal RNA
Source: RNAcentral